This 254-nucleotide ribosomal RNA is filed under the name uncultured bacterium. Its description in RNAcentral is "partial 16S ribosomal RNA". It matches the Rfam family "Bacterial small subunit ribosomal RNA", at positions 524 to 776 of the family's 1533-position model. The record is from RNAcentral.
CACGUAGGGUGCGAGCGUUGUCCGGAAUUAUUGGGCGUAAAGAGCUCGUAGGCGGUGUGUCGCGUCGGCCGUGAAAACCUGCAGCUUAACUGUGGGCUUGCGGUCGAUACGGGCAUCACUGGAGUUCGGCAGGGGAGACUGGAAUUCCUGGUGUAGCGGUGAAAUGCGCAGAUAUCAGGAGGAACACCGAUGGCGAAGGCAGCUCGCUGGGACGAUACUGACGCUGAGGCGCGAAAGCGUGGGGAGCAAACAGG